GUGAAUCAUCAAAUUUUUGAACGCAAAUUGCACUCUCCGCGGAGAGGAUGCCUGUUUGAGUGUCAGCCUAUAUAAAAUCGACAUCAUUGCUGUUUCGCGGUGACGGUCGUCGGAAAUUGGGUCAUCUUAAAUCCGUUUGGUUUUAAGCGACUUAAAAAUUUCGUUUUGGUUCCAUGAACGUUUCUAGGAUGUUU
This 194-nucleotide unclassified non-coding RNA is filed under the name Glomus sp. Its description in RNAcentral is "partial contains 5.8S ribosomal RNA and internal transcribed spacer 2". The stretch from base 1 to 65 matches the Rfam family "5.8S ribosomal RNA", at positions 84 to 154 of the family's 154-position model. Lineage: Eukaryota; Fungi; Glomeromycota; Glomeromycetes; Glomerales; Glomeraceae. The record is from RNAcentral.